Pelobates cultripes (western spadefoot toad) is the source of this 391-nucleotide non-coding RNA. NCBI's taxonomy places the organism in Eukaryota, Metazoa, Chordata, Amphibia, Anura, Pelobatidae. The record is from the annotation of a GenBank genome assembly.
GGUGACAAGUGACAGUCACCACCUCCCUCACUCUGUCACUAGUCACGCCUUCCUUCCCUCACUCUGCCACUAGUCACCCCAUCACUCUAGUGACAGAGUGAGGGAGGGUGUGACUAGUGACAGUUAGGCAGGGAAGGGGUGACUAGUGACAGAGGGAGGGGUGACUAGGGACAGAGUGAGGGAGGUGGUGACUAGUGACAGUCACCACCUCCCUCACUCUAUCACUAGUCACCACCUCCCUCCGUCACUGUGUCACCCCCUCCCUCACUCUGUCACCAGUCAUCCCCUUACUCUGUCACUAGUCACCCCUUCCCUCCCUCUGUCACUAGUCACACCCUCCCUCUCUCUGUCACUAGUCACACCCUCCCUCACUCUGUCACUAGAGUGAGGG